Molecule: ribosomal RNA, 500 nt
Filed under: uncultured bacterium
Lineage: Bacteria
Description: partial 16S ribosomal RNA
Rfam family: Bacterial small subunit ribosomal RNA
Source: RNAcentral
AUUGAACGCUGGCGGAAUGCUUUACACAUGUAAGUCGAACGGCAGCACGGACUUCGGUCUGGUGGCGAGUGGCGAACGGGUGAGUAAUGUAUCGGAACGUGCCCAGUCGUGGGGGAUAACGUAGUGAAAAUUACGCUAAUACCGCAUACGAUCUAUGGAUGAAAGCGGGGGAUCGCAAGACCUCGCGCGAUUGGAGCGGCCGAUAUCAGAUUAGGUAGUUGGUGGGGUAAAGGCCCACCAAGCCAACGAUCUGUAGCUGGUCUGAGAGGACGACCAGCCGCACUGGAACUGAGACACGGUCCAGACUCCUACGGGAGGCAGCAGUGGGGAAUUUUGGACACUGGGCGAAAGCCUGAUCCAGCCAUUCCGCGUGCAGGAUGAAGGCCCUCGGGUUGUAAACUGCUUUUGUACAGAACGAAAAGGUUUCUACUAAUACUAGGAGCUCAUGACGGUACUGUAAGAAUAAGCACCGGCUAACUACGUGCCAGCCGCCGCCGUAA